UUUGUUGAGAUAAUUCUUGAUUUGCAGUAAAAACACUAUAUAAUAUUCUAGUAAACACACUAUAUAAUAUUCUUUCUCUAUCAUGUCUAUGUAUCUUAAGUAGUCGCAUAUAAUAAUUAUACAUUAAACAUAAUGAGAAAAUCAAUAUUGGAUUCCUGUUACAUUCAAGUCUACUAGCUAUAUUUGAUGACUGUCUUUUGACCCCAAGGAUAGAUUUCAACAUUUUGUCAUUAUUGUGUUGUAAUUUAUCAAUUGGUAGAUUGUAAAAAUUAUUUGUCUACAGCAACAUAACUCCAAAUGGUAAACGCUGCCAUCCUUAAAAAUUGAUGACACAAGUAUAUGUCACACUUAUACAAGGGACACACAUAUAUAUAUAUGAAGUAAAAUUGAGAAUGGAAAUGGGGAAUGUGCCAAAGAGACAACAACCCGACCAUAGAAAAAACAACAGCAGAAGGUCACCAACAGGUCUUCAAUGUAGCGAGAAAUUCCUGCA
RNAcentral lists this long non-coding RNA (493 nucleotides) under Mytilus galloprovincialis (Mediterranean mussel). The record is from RNAcentral. Lineage: Eukaryota; Metazoa; Mollusca; Bivalvia; Mytilida; Mytilidae.